GACGAACGCUGGCGGCGUGCUUAACACAUGCCAGUCGAACGAAGAGCGACGGAAGCUUGCUUCUAUCAAUCUUAGUGGCGAACGGGUGAGUAACGCGUAAUCAACCUGCCCUUCAGAGGGGGACAACAGUUGGAAACGACUGCUAAUACCGCAUACGAUCUAACCUCGGCAUCGAGGAUAGAUGAAAGGUGGCCUCUACGUGUAAGCUAUCACUGAAGGAGGGGAUUGCGUCUGAUUAGCUAGUUGGAGGGGUAACGGACCACCAAGGCGAUGAUCAGUAGCCGGUCUGAGAGGAUGAACGGCCACAUUGGGACUGAGACACGGCCCAGACUGCUACGGGAGGCAGCAGUGGGGAUUCUUCCGCAAUGGACGAAAGUCUGACGGAGCAACGCCGCGUGAGUGAUGACGGCCUUCGGGUUGUAAAGCUCUGUUAAUCGGGACGAAAGGCCUUCUUGCGAAUAGUGAGAAGGAUUGACGGUACCGGAAUAGAAAGCCACGGCUAACUACGUG
RNAcentral lists this ribosomal RNA (510 nucleotides) under uncultured bacterium. RNAcentral's name for it is "partial 16S ribosomal RNA". It matches the Rfam family "Bacterial small subunit ribosomal RNA", at positions 28 to 507 of the family's 1533-position model. The record is from RNAcentral.